CAGCCGCCGCGGGAAAACAGAGGGUGCGAGCGUUAAUCGGAUUUACUGGGCGUAAAGCGUGCGUAGGCGGCUUCUUAAGUCGGAUGUGAAAUCCCUGAGCUUAACUUGGGAAUUGCAUUCGAUACUGGUUAGCUAGAGUGUGGGAGAGGAUGGUAGAAUUCCAGGUGUAGCAGUGAAAUGCGUAGAGAUCUGGAGGAAUACCGAUGGCGAAGGCAGCCAUCUGGCCUAAUACUGACGCUGAGGUACGAAAGCAUGGGGAGCAAACAGGAUUAGAUACCCCGGUAGUCCCUGUCUUUUAUAC
This 301-nucleotide ribosomal RNA is filed under the name uncultured bacterium. RNAcentral describes it as "partial 16S ribosomal RNA". It matches the Rfam family "Bacterial small subunit ribosomal RNA", at positions 509 to 809 of the family's 1533-position model. The record is from RNAcentral.